Long non-coding RNA from Etheostoma cragini (Arkansas darter), 285 nucleotides. RefSeq lists it as uncharacterized. The transcript is spliced from 2 exons. The record is from RefSeq and is a predicted model, not a curated record. Lineage: Eukaryota; Metazoa; Chordata; Actinopteri; Perciformes; Percidae.
GUGUGUUUGUGUGUGUUCUUGUUUAACUAUAUUCGUGGGGUCCAAAAACCCGGGAGUUCAGUAUACUUGUGGGGUCCCGACAGCUUUGGGGAGCCAAAAUGCUGGACCCCACAACUUUAAAGGGCUGUUUGAGGGUUAAGACUUGGUUUUAGGGUUAGGGUUAGAAUCAGGUUAUGGUUUGGGUGAGGGUUAAGGUUAAGGUUAGGCAUUUAGUUGUGAUGGUUGAUGAUAGGGUAAGGGGCUUGGGAAGGCACUAUGUCAAUGAUGUGUCCCCACAAAGAUAGU